RNAcentral lists this ribosomal RNA (1481 nucleotides) under uncultured Bordetella sp. RNAcentral describes it as "partial 16S-23S ribosomal RNA intergenic spacer". It matches the Rfam family "Bacterial small subunit ribosomal RNA". Lineage: Bacteria; Pseudomonadati; Pseudomonadota; Betaproteobacteria; Burkholderiales; Alcaligenaceae. The record is from RNAcentral.
AGUUUGAUUCGCUCAGAUUGAACGCUGGCGGGAUGCUUUACACAUGCAAGUCGAACGGCAGCACGGACUUCGGUCUGGUGGCGAGUGGCGAACGGGUGAGUAAUGUAUCGGAACGUGCCUAGUAGCGGGGGAUAACUACGCGAAAGCGUAGCCAAUACCGCAUACCGCCCUUCGGGGGAAAGCGGGGGACCUUCGGGCCUCGCACUAUUAGAGCGGCCGAUAUCGGAUUAGCUAGCUGGUGGGUAACGGCUCACCAAGGCGACGAUCCGUAGCUGGUUUGAGAGGACGACCAGCCACACUGGGACUGAGACACGGCCCAGACUCCUACGGGAGGCAGCAGUGGGGAAUUUUGGACAAUGGGGAAACCCUGAUCCAGCCAGCCCGCGUGUGCGAUGAAGGCUCUCUGGGUUGCGAAAGCACUUUUGGCAGGAAAGAAACGGCACGGGAUAAUACCCGUGCAACUGACGGUACCUGCAGAAUAAGCACCGGCUAACCACGUGCCAGCAGCCGCGGUAAUACGUAGGGUGCAAGCGUUAAUCGGAAUUACUGGGCGUAAAGCGUGCGCAGGCGGUUCGGAAAGAAAGAUGUGAAAUCCCAGAGCUUAACUUUGAACUCGCAUUUUUAACUACCGAGCUAGAGUGUGUCAGAGGGAGGUGGAAUUCGCGUGUAGCAGUGAAAUGCGUAGAUAUGCGGAGGAACACCGAUGGCGAAGGCAGCCUCCUGGGAUAACACUGACGCUCAUGCACGAAAGCGUGGGAGCAAACAGGAUUAGAUACCCUGGUAGUCCACGCCCUAAACGAUGUCAACUAGCUGUUGGGGCCUUCGGCCUUGGUAGCGCAGCUAACGCGUGAAGUUGACCGCCUGGGGAGUACGGUCGCAAGAUUAAAACUCAAAGGAAUUGACGGGGACCCGCACAAGCGGUGGAUGAUGUGGAUUAAUUCGAUGCAACGCGAAAAACCUUACCUACCCUUGACAUGUCUGGAAUCCCAAGAGAUUUGGGAGUGCUCGCAAGAGAACCGAACACAGGUGCUGCAUGGCUGUCGUCAGCUCGUGUCGAGAUGUUGGGUUAAGUCUCACAACGAGCGCAACCCUUGUCAUUAGUUGCUACGAAAGGGCACUCUAAUGAGACUGCCGGUGACAAACCGGAGGAAGGUGGGGACGGACGUCAAGUCCUCAUGGCCCUUGCGGGUAGGGCUUCACACGUCAUACAAUGGUCGGGACAGAGGGUCGCCAACCCGCGAGGGGGAGCCAAUCCCAGAAACCCGAUCGUAGUCCGGAUCGCAGUCUGCAACUCGACUGCGUGAAGUCGGAAUCGCUAGUAAUCGCGGAUCAGCAUGUCGCGGUGAAUACGUUCCCGGGUCUUGUACACACCGCCCGUCACACCAUGGGAGUGGGUUUUACCAGAAGUAGUUAGCCUAACCGUAAGGAGGGCGAUUAACACGGUAGGAUUCAUGACUGGGGUGAAGUCGUAAAUAAGGUAA